UCGGAAGGUAAUAAAAGAUGUUGGCAGCACUAAGGCAGGAAGAGCUGAAGUAGGACCUUCACGACCUGCAUAAUGUAGUUUCAUCUAAGAGAAUUAUUAAUCAAGUUACCUGCAUAAUGUAGUUUCAUCUAAGAGGAUUAUUAAUCAAGUUGUGGUGAACCCUUACGGAGUGGUUCCUAUUGUGAAAGGUCACUGCACUCAAAGGUGCAACCUAGUUGUUAAUGAAGUUGGAUUGAGGAUUAUGACAAGAGGCGACCUAAGGGUAAUGCAAAUGAAGCCCUUGCUUAGGCCCCCAAAAUAUUAAGGGCCCGAAUUUUAAGUACUAUGUGUCACAUAUAUUUUAUGUAAUUAUUAUUAAUAAAAUAUUUUAAAAGUUUUAAUGAAAGUUGUACGGUUGAGUGAUAAAUAACGAUAAAUUUCUCUUUCGUUUAAUUAAAUAAAUGAUGCAUUUACCUUCAUUAUCAAAUCUGAUUUUUCCUCUCUAUG
This 486-nucleotide long non-coding RNA is filed under the name Nicotiana benthamiana. RNAcentral describes it as "long non-coding RNA (NBEN_LNC007102)". The record is from RNAcentral. Lineage: Eukaryota; Viridiplantae; Streptophyta; Magnoliopsida; Solanales; Solanaceae.